Long non-coding RNA from Mesocricetus auratus (golden hamster), 2007 nucleotides. RefSeq lists it as uncharacterized. The transcript is spliced from 2 exons. The record is from RefSeq and is a predicted model, not a curated record. NCBI's taxonomy places the organism in Eukaryota, Metazoa, Chordata, Mammalia, Rodentia, Cricetidae.
CAAAGCAAAAAUCUUUAAAAAAUCAAUAAGGCAAAAAAAUACUAAACCAAACAAAAAGCAUGGAAAGUCUGUUUUGUGUUCACCAACUAUUCCGAGGUAUGAGGCCUGCCCUGGAGUGUGACACUCCAUUGGAGAAAACUAGUAUGUUUCCCAGAAGCUAUCAAUUGCAAAUAGCUUCUUGGUAAGGGGUGGGAACUCUGUUCACUUCCUCCUCUCGGUGCUGGGACCCUGUCCGGGCAUGAGCUUAUGCAGGUCUCGUGCACGCUGCCAGACUCCGUGAGUCCACACGUGCGUGCGUCCUGCUGUGCCUGGAAGACGCCGUUUCCACCUCUCGCUCUUAUGGUCUCUUCUCCUGGUGUGACAGCUGUGUGAUCUAGGGACUUUUGAUAGGCAUGGUGGAAAUAAGAGUUAAAACAGUGCCUACAAAGAAGGUUGACCCCUCGCCUCCCAAGCAUUCCCUUUACUUCUCCUCCUUAGCCUUCGGAGGGUUUGCACCUUUUGGUCCUGUGUCCUUUCUGCUUCCGGGAGGCCACAUCUCCAAACACUAAUUUCUGAGGGUAUUAGCGUGUGUUCUGUGGUCCACCAGCACCCACAGCGGCAGGAGCCUGCUAACUACCCAAGUCCAGCACUUCCUCUGAUGUACCAUCUGGUUUCAGAUCCCUGGGUGGAGGAAUGCAAGGAAUCUGCAUUUGCUAACAUACAUACCUCCUUGAUUUUUUUAUUUUUAUUUUUAUUGCAACAUCUUUGCUGGUGGAGCUGAGCUCCGAGCCUCUCCCCUCUGCUGUCCCCUAAAUGGGGACUAUUAUUUUCAGAAUUCUGAGGCAAUGCGUCCGAAUUCCUUUGGUCUGAGCGGUGUGUCUUUAUAAGGCUAGAGCUCUGCCAAAAGAUAACCGCAGGUGGACUCUGGGGGCGCGUGCUGUUUCCAAAGAUAGCAGCGCCUAACCCUGCUUGCUGAUGACUCCGAGGGUCUGAAUGUGCUCGCGGCUGCAUGGCCUUAUAUAGAGAGGGGCCAGGCCCUCAGCAGCCGACGCCAUGUGUUCCGUGGCUAUCUUUGGAGAGUGACAGGUGCUCGUGACAAGUGAAGUUGGACAGCUGAGCUGUGACCCUCGAGAAAGAAGCCGUGGACCGUGGCUGCACAAAUCACGAUACACAGGAUUAGGAUGAAGUAGGCCAAUUUUAUUGGGGAGAAAUCACUUACAUGAGAAACCGAUAACACAGGAUCCGCACUCCAAGCAUCCGAGCUCAGCUGCCCUCCGAGAAUUGACUGACCGGAACCCAGAGAGAGCAAACCUAAAUCCCACACGCUCAGGUACUCACCUGUGACCACACCCAAAGGGGCGUGGUCCGUGCCACAGGUACCUAGUAAGGGCCCGAGAGAACAUAAGGUGUGUUUAGCAGGGUUCUGUCAACCACGCAGCUGUUGUUAAGAAAGCGGCCACACAAACUGUAACUCAUUCACUCCUACUCUUGGCUUAUUGCUCUCAUUUCCAAAAGCAUCCCUUGAGAAGCAACACUAUUAAUAAUAUGGCACUAGUAAUACCAUAUUGCUAAUAAUUGGUUGGGCAUCAAGUGAAAUCAAAAUGAAACCAAAACCUCAGAUUUGGGCAAAGUGGAAGCCCUACACGGUCUCUCUGCGAAUUUCAAAGUACACUCAGUCACCGCUUGGUAGCUGUGAGUUCCACAGCCUUGGAUUCAACUAUGCUCAAAUCAAAGAUAUUUCUGUGUGUUUUUUUUUUUUUUUUUUAGUUUGUCUGUGGUGCCCACUGAGGCCAUAACAGGUCAUUGGAACCUCUGGGACCGGAGCCACAGUUAGUUGUGAGCCGCCACGUGGCUGCUGGGAGUCAAACCUGCAUCCUUCGCUCUUAACUGCUGAGCCGUCUCUCCAGUUCCAACAUUUGCGGGCUCGGGGUGUAACUCUGUGGCGGAUAGCUGACACUGCAUGCAUAAGCCAUUGGGGUUUGCUUCCUGGAGUUGCUAGCACCCCAACCAAUAGAAGUUGGAUUUGUA